GGACGAACGCUGGCGGCGUGCCUAAUACAUGCAAGUCGAGCGAAUCGAYGGGAGCUUGCUCCCUGAGAUUAGCGGCGGACGGGUGAGUAACACGUGGGCAACCUGCCUAUAAGACUGGGAUAACUUCGGGAAACCGGAGCUAAUACCGGAUACGUUCUUUUCUCGCAUGAGAGAAGAUGGAAAGACGGUUUACGCUGUCACUUAUAGAUGGGCCCGCGGCGCAUUAGCUAGUUGGUGAGGUAAUGGCUCACCAAGGCGACGAUGCGUAGCCGACCUGAGAGGGUGAUCGGCCACACUGGGACUGAGACACGGCCCAGACUCCUACGGGAGGCAGCAGUAGGGAAUCUUCCGCAAUGGACGAAAGUCUGACGGAGCAACGCCGCGUGAACGAAGAAGGCCUUCGGGUCGUAAAGUUCUGUUGUUAGGGAAGAACAAGUACCAGAGUAACUGCUGGUACCUUGACGGUACCUAACCA
This 475-nucleotide ribosomal RNA is filed under the name Peribacillus simplex. RNAcentral describes it as "bacterial SSU rRNA". It matches the Rfam family "Bacterial small subunit ribosomal RNA", at positions 27 to 485 of the family's 1533-position model. Lineage: Bacteria; Bacillati; Bacillota; Bacilli; Caryophanales; Bacillaceae. The record is from RNAcentral.